This 61-nucleotide transfer RNA is filed under the name Clostridiales bacterium. RNAcentral's name for it is "tRNA-Arg". It matches the Rfam family "tRNA", at positions 7 to 64 of the family's 71-position model. Rfam says of the family: Transfer RNA (tRNA) molecules are approximately 80 nucleotides in length. The record is from RNAcentral. Lineage: Bacteria; Bacillati; Bacillota; Clostridia; Eubacteriales.
GUAGCUCAGCUGGAUAGAGCAACGGCCUUCUAAGCCGUAGGUCCUGGGUUCGAAUCCCCGC